Molecule: ribosomal RNA, 253 nt
Filed under: uncultured bacterium
Lineage: Bacteria
Description: partial 16S ribosomal RNA
Rfam family: Bacterial small subunit ribosomal RNA
Source: RNAcentral
UACAGAGGGUGCAAGCGGUAAUCGGAAUUACUGGGCGUAAAGCGCACGUAGGCGGUUUUUUAAGUCAGAUGUGAAAGCCCCGGGCUCAACCUGGGAAUUGCAUUUGAAACUGGGAAACUAGAGUGUGUGAGAGGGGGGUAGAAUUCCAAGUGUAGCGGUGAAAUGCGUAGAGAUUUGGAGGAAUACCAGUGGCGAAGGCGGCCCCCUGGCACAACACUGACGCUCAGGUGCGAAAGCGUGGGGAGCAAACAGG